This 468-nucleotide ribosomal RNA is filed under the name uncultured bacterium. RNAcentral's name for it is "partial 16S ribosomal RNA". It matches the Rfam family "Bacterial small subunit ribosomal RNA", at positions 28 to 507 of the family's 1533-position model. The record is from RNAcentral.
GACGAACGCUGGCGGCGUGCUUAACACAUGCAAGUCGAACGGAAAGGCCCUGCUUUUGUGGUGUGCUCGAGUGGCGAACGGGUGAGUAACACGUGAGUAACCUGCCCUUGACUUUGGGAUAACUUCAGGAAACUGGGGCUAAUACCGGAUAGGAGCUCCUGCUGCAUGGUGGGGGUUGGAAAGUUUCGGCGGUUGGGGAUGGACUCGCGGCUUAUCAGCUUGUUGGUGGGGUAGUGGCUUACCAAGGGUUUGACGGGUAGCCGGCCUGAGAGGGUGACCGGCCACAUUGGGACUGCGAUACGGACCAGACUCCUACGGGAGGCAGCAGUGGGGAAUAUUGCACAAUGGGCGGAAGCCUGAUGCAGAGACGCCGCGUGCGGGAUGACGGCCUUCGGGUUGUAAACCGCUUUCGCCUGUGACGAAGCGUGAGUGACGGUAAUGGGUAAAGAAGCACCGGCUAACUACGUG